UUUUAAAUAGUUUAUAAAAAAUUUAAUAUUGAAGAUAUUAAGAAAGUAGGUGUUACUUUUAAAAU
This 65-nucleotide transfer RNA is filed under the name Pujadella villari. Its description in RNAcentral is "tRNA-Phe". Lineage: Eukaryota; Metazoa; Arthropoda; Insecta; Hymenoptera; Figitidae. The record is from RNAcentral.